Molecule: ribosomal RNA, 611 nt
Filed under: uncultured bacterium
Lineage: Bacteria
Description: bacterial SSU rRNA
Rfam family: Bacterial small subunit ribosomal RNA
Source: RNAcentral
UCUACUCUGUCGUGGGGGAUAACGUAGGGAAACUUACGCUAAUACCGCAUACGACCUACGGGUGAAAGCAGGGGAUCUUCGGACCUUGCGCGAUUGAAUGAGCCGAUGUCGGAUUAGCUAGUUGGCGGGGUAAAGGCCCACCAAGGCGACGAUCCGUAGCUGGUCUGAGAGGAUGAUCAGCCACACUGGAACUGAGACACGGUCCAGACUCCUACGGGAGGCAGCAGUGGGGAAUAUUGGACAAUGGGCGCAAGCCUGAUCCAGCCAUACCGCGUGGGUGAAGAAGGCCUUCGGGUUGUAAAGCCCUUUUGUUGGGAAAGAAAUCCAGCUGGCUAAUACCCGGUUGGGAUGACGGUACCCAAAGAAUAAGCACCGGCUAACUUCGUGCCAGCAGCCGCGGUAAUACGAAGGGUGCAAGCGUUACUCGGAAUUACUGGGCGUAAAGCGUGCGUAGGUGGUCGUUUAAGUCCGUUGUGAAAGCCCUGGGCUCAACCUGGGAACUGCAGUGGAUACUGGGCGACUAAAGUGUGGUAGAGGGUAGCGGAAUUCCUGGUGUAGCAGUGAAAUGCGUAAAGAUCAGGAGGAACAUCCAUGGCGAAGGCAGCUACCUG